AACGAACGCUGGCGGCAUGCCUAACACAUGCAAGUCGAACGAGACCUUCGGGUCUAGUGGCGCACGGGUGCGUAACGCGUGGGAACCUGCCCUUAGGUUCGGCAUAACUCCCCGACAGGGGUGCUAAUACCGGAUAAUGUCUUCGGACCAAAGAUUUAUCGCCUUUGGAUGGGCCCGCGUUGGAUUAGCUAGUUGGUAGGGUAAAAGCCUACCAAGGCGACGAUCCAUAGCUGGGCUGAGAGGAUGAUCAGCCACACUGGGACUGAGACACGGCCCAGACUCCUACGGGAGGCAGCAGUGGGGAAUAUUGGACAAUGGGCGAAAGCCUGAUCCAGCAAUGCCGCGUGAGUGAUGAAGGCCUUAGGGUUGUAAAGCUCUUUUACCCGGGAUGAUAAUGACAGUACCGGGAGAAUAAGCUCCGGCUAACUCCGUG
Molecule: ribosomal RNA, 433 nt
Filed under: uncultured bacterium
Lineage: Bacteria
Description: partial 16S ribosomal RNA
Rfam family: Bacterial small subunit ribosomal RNA
Source: RNAcentral